UCAGUAAUGAUGGGUAGGGGAGCUUCCCAUACGGGUUGAAGCAUGACCGUAAGGACAUGUGGACAGUAUGGGAGUGAGAAUGUUGGCAUGAGUAGCGAGAUGUGGGUGAGAAUCCCACAGGCCGUAACCCAAGGUUUCCAGGGGAAGGUUCGUCCGCCCUGGGUUAGUCGGGACCUAAGCUGAGGCCGAAAGGCGUAGGUGAUGGACAACAGGUUGAUAUUCCUGUACUACCGAUAACCGUUUGAGAGA
Molecule: ribosomal RNA, 249 nt
Filed under: Clostridioides difficile
Lineage: Bacteria; Bacillati; Bacillota; Clostridia; Peptostreptococcales; Peptostreptococcaceae
Description: partial 23S ribosomal RNA
Rfam family: Bacterial large subunit ribosomal RNA
Source: RNAcentral